Molecule: transfer RNA, 75 nt
Filed under: Marinithermofilum abyssi
Lineage: Bacteria; Bacillati; Bacillota; Bacilli; Caryophanales; Thermoactinomycetaceae
Description: tRNA-Gly
Rfam family: tRNA
About the family: Transfer RNA (tRNA) molecules are approximately 80 nucleotides in length. Their secondary structure includes four short double-helical elements and three loops (D, anti-codon, and T loops).
Source: RNAcentral
GCGGAAGUAGCUCAGGGGUAGAGCACCACCUUGCCAAGGUGGGGGUCGCGGGUUCGAAUCCCGUCUUCCGCUCCA